AUGGAGGGUUCCAUCCGCGCCUCCUCCUUCCAGCCCCCCACCGUCACUCGCGCCAGCACCCGCUACGCCCCUUGGGCUCUCCUCAACGCGACGGCUUACUUCGCCGUCCGGAAGAACGCCACCACCGCCGAAGCCGUCACCAGCACAGGCCGCACCGUCAAGGUCACCUUCUGCCUCGCCGACCCGCCGGCCAUCUCCCACUGCUGCGUCCACGGCCCCGAGUUCCACCCCGACGACUUCACAACCGAGCCCCUAAUCGUCUUCUCUGCCAAGGACCUUGUGCUCCUCCGCUUCGCCUUCACAGUCGGCCCUAGGAGCACCCGCCGGGAUUCUCGUCUCGCCGAGUACUUCGUCUACAAGGCCGGCCGCGGCAACGGCAAGCCAUCUCUCACACCGGUCCCUUAUACUCCUCCGGACACCAUAAACUCAUUCUACAUGUGCGUCUUGCCAUUAGAUGGAGAUGAUGAGGGAUUUGUCCUCGCCGAUCUCUGCGUGACAAGGGUCCGAUCAGACUACGAGCUCCACGUCUUCUCUUCCAAGACGGCCAAGUGGACCAUUACGCCGUUGCGGUUGCGCACAUCUCCCACGGUCAGGAGCGAGGACCUGCCCGGCCCUCGUCUAAACAAGGUGAUCGCGCUGGGAGGAGGUGCCGUAGGCUGGGUCGACCUCUGGCGUGGCAUUGUCAGCUGUAAUGUGCUUGACAAGAACCCCGUUCUACGUUUGAUACCAGUGCCAUUGUUCGGAUUCAACGAGCGACGGGAAGGCGACGCGAGGCCGGUCAGGGACAUGACUUGCUGCAAUGGUUUGAUCAAGUAUGUCGGUCUUGAUGUCCGUUUCAAAGAGGUUGAUGUUCCUAAAAGGAGGAGUCGUCCAGGAUAUCUUGAUGACGUCGAUAUCAUCUAUGAUUUUGAGCUGCUCUUCCACGCCGACGGCGAUGAUUUAUUUACUGCCAACCCAGUGGAACGAUAUGAUGGUUGGAAGAUCCGGACAUGGUAUAGGAACACUUCUUGGAACUAUUGGCGCAAGGGCCAAACUGUCGAUAUUGAUGACAUCUCGGCUGACAGCCCUGGUCAUUCUUUGUUACGCCCACUACUCUGGGAUUCUGAAGCUGGGAGAUUCACAUUGAGGACAUUGUAUUCACUCUACCCGACAGUGGGCAUUGACGGUGGCGAUGAUGUUGUUUACAUGAUGACAAAACUAGAAUAUCAUGCUAAACACGCAUGCAUGAUUGGUAUUGACCUUGGAAAGAAGACGGUGAAUGCGCUUGUACCAGCUUCUUGUGAGAGAGCCUGUUAUUUCAGUGUGGACUUCCUCCCCUCUGAAUUCUCCAAAUAUUUUAAUGCAGCUCCAAGGUAA
RNAcentral lists this ribosomal RNA (1356 nucleotides) under Triticum aestivum (bread wheat). RNAcentral describes it as "partial small subunit ribosomal RNA". Lineage: Eukaryota; Viridiplantae; Streptophyta; Magnoliopsida; Poales; Poaceae. The record is from RNAcentral.